GCGCGCGUCCUAGGGGAGUAGUCUCCCGCGAGCGCCAGCUUGCCCGGCACGCGUCAACAUACUUGCUCAGCAGAGCAUGGCGCGUGCGACCCGAGGCCCACCCAGUGGGGCCUGCGGUUUGACAAGACCUAU
Non-coding RNA from Pseudomonadales bacterium, 132 nucleotides. NCBI's taxonomy places the organism in Bacteria, Pseudomonadati, Pseudomonadota, Gammaproteobacteria, Pseudomonadales. The record is from Rfam.